UUGACCUCGGAUCAGGUAGGGAUACCCGCUGAACUUAAGCAUAUCAAUAAGCGGAGGAAAAGAAACCAACAGGGAUUGCCUUAGUAACGGCGAGUGAAGCGGCAAUAGCUCAAAUUUGAAAGCUGGCGUCUUCGACGUCCGCGUUGUAAUUUGUAGAGGAUGCUUCGGCGAAGACUCCUGCCUAAGUCCCCUGGAACGGGGCGUCAUAGAGGGUGAGAAUCCCGUAUGUGGCGGGCAGUCUAAGCCAUGUGAAGCUCCUUCGACGAGUCGAGUUGUUUGGGAAUGCAGCUCUAAAUGGGAGGUAAAUUUCUUCUAAAGCUAAAUAUUGGCCAGAGACCGAUAGCGCACAAGUAGAGUGAUCGAAAGAUGAAAAGCACUUUGGAAAGAGAGUUAAAAAGUACGUGAAAUUGUUGAAAGGGAAGCGCUUGCAACCAGACUCGCUCGUAGUUGCUCAGCCGGCCUCUUGGCCGGUGUACUCUUCUACGAUCGGGCCAGCAUCAGUUCGGGCGGCAGGAUAAAGGUGUCGGGAAUGUAGCACCCUUCGGGGUGUGUUAUAGCCCGGCGCGGAAUGCUGCCAGCCUGGACUGAGGAUCUCGCUUCGGCAAGGAUGCUGGCGUAAUGGUUGUAAGCGGCCCGUCUUGAAACACGGACCAAGGAGUCUAACAUCUAUGCGAGUGUUUGGGUGUCAAACCCAUGCGCGUAAUGAAAGUGAACGGAGGUGGGAACCCCUCACGGGGUGCACCAUCGACCGAUCCUGAUGUCUUCGGAUGGAUUUGAGUAAGAGCAUAGCUGUUGGGACCCGAAAGAUGGUGAACUAUGCCUGAAUAGGGUGAAGCCAGAGGAAACUCUGGUGGAGGCUCGCAGCGGUUCUGACGUGCAAAUCGAUCGUCAAAUUUGGGUAUAGGGGCGAAAGACUAAUCG
This 921-nucleotide ribosomal RNA is filed under the name Guignardia sp. CPC 10978. RNAcentral's name for it is "eukaryotic LSU rRNA". It matches the Rfam family "Eukaryotic large subunit ribosomal RNA", at positions 1 to 937 of the family's 3401-position model. RNAcentral also lists the same sequence under 1 other name. The record is from RNAcentral. Lineage: Eukaryota; Fungi; Ascomycota; Dothideomycetes; Botryosphaeriales; Phyllostictaceae.